UACGAAGGGGGCUAGCGUUGCUCGGAAUCACUGGGCGUAAAGCGCACGUAGGCGGUUUCUUAAGUCAGGGGUGAAAUCCUGGAGCUCAACUCCAGAACUGCCUUUGAUACUGGGAGACUCGAGUCCGGGAGAGGUGAGUGGAACUGCGAGUGUAGAGGUGAAAUUCGUAGAUAUUCGCAAGAACACCAGUGGCGAAGGCGGCUCACUGGCCCGGUACUGACGCUGAGGUGCGAAAGCGUGGGGAGCAAACAGG
RNAcentral lists this ribosomal RNA (253 nucleotides) under uncultured bacterium. Its description in RNAcentral is "partial 16S ribosomal RNA". It matches the Rfam family "Bacterial small subunit ribosomal RNA", at positions 524 to 776 of the family's 1533-position model. The record is from RNAcentral.